GCGGCUGUAGCUCAGCAGGAUAGAGCAUAGGAUUCCUAAUCCUAGGGCCGUGGGUUCGAAUCCCGCCAGCCGCACCA
This 77-nucleotide transfer RNA is filed under the name Candidatus Aminicenantes bacterium ADurb.Bin508. Its description in RNAcentral is "tRNA-Arg". It matches the Rfam family "tRNA". Rfam says of the family: Transfer RNA (tRNA) molecules are approximately 80 nucleotides in length. RNAcentral also lists the same sequence under 1 other name. Lineage: Bacteria; Candidatus Aminicenantota. The record is from RNAcentral.